Molecule: ribosomal RNA, 292 nt
Filed under: uncultured bacterium
Lineage: Bacteria
Also listed under: 1 other name
Description: partial 16S ribosomal RNA
Source: RNAcentral
GGACUACCAGGGUAUCUAAUCCCGUUUGCUCCCCUGGCUUUCGUGUUUCAGAGUCAGGAAUUUUCCAGGAGGCCGCCUACGCCACCGGUGUUCCUCAUGAUAUCUACGCAUUUCACUGCUACACCAUGAAUUCCGCCUCCCCCUCCAAUCCUCGAGCCAAGCAGUUUCGAAUGCCAUUUCGCCGUUAAGCGGCGAGCUUUCACAUCCGACUUGCCUGACCUCCUACACACCCUUUACGCCCAAUGAAUCCGAACAACGCUCGGGACCUCUGUAUUACCGCGGCUGCUGGCAC